Molecule: ribosomal RNA, 222 nt
Filed under: Eubostrichus sp. Ugent CeMoFe42A
Lineage: Eukaryota; Metazoa; Nematoda; Chromadorea; Desmodorida; Desmodoridae
Description: partial small subunit ribosomal RNA
Rfam family: Eukaryotic small subunit ribosomal RNA
Source: RNAcentral
UUCUAGAGCUAAUACAAUGAAGCUUCGACCUGCAUUUAUUAGACCAAUGGUGACUCUGAAUAACUCUGCAGAUCACAUUAGUACCGGUGACAUAUCUUUCAAGUGUCUGCCCUAUCAACUUUCGAUGGUAGUUUAUGUGCCUACCAUGGUUGUAACGGGUAACGGAGAAUAAGGGUUCGACUCCGGAGAGGGAGCCUGAGAAAUGGCUACCACAUCCAAGGA